AAAGAAACUAACGAGGAUUCCCAUAGUAACGGCGAGUGAAAUGGGAAAAGCCCAGCGCUGAAUCCAUCGAUCACUGGUCGCUUGGAAUUGUAGCGUAUAGGUGCGGCUGUCCGCUCGUUUCGUGCACCCAAAGUCCCCUUGAGCGGGGCCAUAGUCCAAAGAAGGUGCUAGACCUGUACGGGUGGCGAGACGGUCGGUUGGUCGCUCCUUGGAGUCGGGUUGCCUGGGAUCGCAGCCCAAAGUUGGUGGUAGACCUCAUCUAAGGCUAAAUAUGGCCACGAAACCGAUAGCAAACAAGUACCGUGAGGGAAAGUUGCAAAGAACUUUGAAGAGAGAGUUCAAGAGGGCGUGAAACCGCCGAGAUUGAAACGGAUAGAGUUGACGAAACUCGAUCGCAUUCAUCCGAUCCGCCUAGCGGUUCGGCGGUUGUUGACUUCCUCGAUGAGGGCAACGCCGUCGCUGGCUGUUGGGUGUUAGAUGGGUGUAUUUGCGGUCGGUAUGCGCCGAGAGCUUUGCGAACGCAUGUUGGCGUUGAUGUAGUGGACCACUCCCUUCGGGCGUGGAACCCUGCACUGACUGAGGCAUGUCGUUUGUAGGGUGUUGCUGGUUGACGUCUCCGCUAUGGUGCGUCGGCUUUGUCGGACUGUUGUGGCUACUGGGUGAUCGCAUGCGAGCGCCUGUGGUUUAUGAUCGUACGAUGAGGUGCAGACGCGCUUGAGACGUGCAUCUCGGUGUGAACGUUGACCACCUAUCCGA
RNAcentral lists this ribosomal RNA (756 nucleotides) under Anisakis berlandi. Its description in RNAcentral is "LSU rRNA". It matches the Rfam family "Eukaryotic large subunit ribosomal RNA", at positions 58 to 647 of the family's 3401-position model. Lineage: Eukaryota; Metazoa; Nematoda; Chromadorea; Rhabditida; Anisakidae. The record is from RNAcentral.